CAAGCAAGAUGUUGAUUACAUGUCUAUUGUCGAGGAUGAAUCUGAAUCUACUUUUCAUGAGGCUUUUCUUAGUCGUCUUACGGAAACUGGUGCAACAGAAAGUUCAUCUUUAUGUGACCUUCCUAAACAGAUGGCAGGUGAUCAACAGAGAGCCUCUGAAUAGACUAAGAACAUCUUAAGUAAUUUAGUUGCUGCUGUUGACAAUUUGUGGUAUCUAAAAGAUGGAAUACAUACUGUAGUCUUGAAAAAACUUUCAGAAAAUUGUAAGAGCUAUGUGGGUUUUACAGUUUUAUUUUUGUAUGAUACUUCAAGCACUGAUCUGUAGACUUAUCUCAGUUUUUGGUGGAUC
Molecule: long non-coding RNA, 349 nt
Organism: Humulus lupulus (European hop)
Lineage: Eukaryota; Viridiplantae; Streptophyta; Magnoliopsida; Rosales; Cannabaceae
Exons: 2
Source: RefSeq, a predicted model, not a curated record